AUGUGCUAUAGGGAGAACAUGAAAUUGCUUGCACAAGGUGAUGCUGAUACUGCCAUAGGAAUCAUGUUGACCAGAAAGGACAAAGAUCCAGAUUUCUUCUUUGAGCACACAGUUGACGCUGAAGGCAGGCUCCAAAACCUGUUCUGGUGUGGUUUGCAGUCACGCCGGGAUUAUCUAGACUAUGGUGAUGUUGUCGUCUUCGACAGCACAUACAAGAUGAACAGGUAUGGAAUGUCGUUCAUCCCUUUUGUGGGUCUGAACAACCACCGUUGCACUACGGUAUUCGCUUGCGCCAUUGUUUCAGACGAGACUGAGGCUACAUAUGUUUGGUUGCUUAACACGUUUUUGAAAGCUAACUGUCAGAAGAGGCCCAAAUCUGUAAUUACCGAUGGAGAUGCAGCGAUGAUAAGGGCUAUCAGGAAGGUGCUUUCUGACGUGUGGCAUCGUCUAUGUUCAUGUCAUAUUGAAAAGAAUAUGCAGAAACACCUCAACCACAAGUCAUUGAAGGAGUUCAGGGCAUUAUUGUACUAUGCCACUACACAUAAGGUUUUUGAGGAGAGAUGGGCCGCGUUUGUGCGCUAA
Molecule: ribosomal RNA, 582 nt
Filed under: Triticum aestivum (bread wheat)
Lineage: Eukaryota; Viridiplantae; Streptophyta; Magnoliopsida; Poales; Poaceae
Description: partial small subunit ribosomal RNA
Source: RNAcentral